ACCCGCUGAACUUAAGCAUAUCAAUAAGCAACAACAGGGAUUGCCCUAGUAACGGCGAGUGAAGCGGCAACAGCUCAAAUUUGAAAUCUGGCUCUCUUUGGGGGUCCGAGUUGUAAUUUGCAGAGGAUGCUUUGGCAUUGGCGGCGGUCUAAGUUCCUUGGAACAGGACAUCACAGAGGGUGAGAAUCCCGUACGUGGUCGCCUGCCUUUGCCGUGUAAAGCUCCUUCGACGAGUCGAGUUGUUUGGGAAUGCAGCUCUAAAUGGGAGGUAAAUUUCUUCUAAAGCUAAAUACUGGCCAGAGACCGAUAGCGCACAAGUAGAGUGAUCGAAAGAUGAAAAGUACUUUGGAAAGAGAGUCAAAAAGCACGUGAAAUUGUUGAAAGGGAAGCGCUUGCAGCCAGACUUGCCCGCAGUUGCUCACCUAGGCUUUGGCCUGGGGCACUCUUCUGCGGGCAGGCCAGCAUCAGUUUGGGCGGUUGGAUAAAGGCCUCUGUCACGUAUCUCCCUUCGGGGUGACCUUAUAGGGGAGGCGCAAUGCAACCAGCCCGGACUGAGGUCCGCGCAUCUGCUAGGAUGCUGCGAAUCUUAAGCGGCCCGUCUUGAACCACGGACC
RNAcentral lists this ribosomal RNA (614 nucleotides) under Paraconiothyrium sp. LK1. Its description in RNAcentral is "eukaryotic LSU rRNA". It matches the Rfam family "Eukaryotic large subunit ribosomal RNA", at positions 23 to 667 of the family's 3401-position model. The record is from RNAcentral. Lineage: Eukaryota; Fungi; Ascomycota; Dothideomycetes; Pleosporales; Didymosphaeriaceae.